Molecule: ribosomal RNA, 1345 nt
Filed under: Microplitis demolitor
Lineage: Eukaryota; Metazoa; Arthropoda; Insecta; Hymenoptera; Braconidae
Description: eukaryotic LSU rRNA
Rfam family: Eukaryotic large subunit ribosomal RNA (bases 1-996)
Source: RNAcentral
CUUGGUGGUAGUAGCAAAUACUCCAGCGAGGCCCUGGAGGACUGACGUGGAGAAGGGUUUCGUGUGAACAGCAGUUGAACACGAGUCAGUCGAUCCUAAGCCCUAAGAGAAAUCUUAUAUUCAUAUGGUGUCACAAAUAAUAUUAUAAAAAAAAACACACCUAUUGGGCGAAAGGGAAUCCGGUUUCUAUUCCGGAACCCGGCAGCGGAACCGUAUACAAUUCGUUCACUCGUAAGAGUGUUCGUCGGGGUAACCCAAAAUGACCUGGAGACAUCGACAGGAAGUCCGGAAAGAGUUUUCUUUUCUGUAUAAGCGUUCAAGUUCCCUGGAAACUUUUAGCAAGGAGAUAGGGUUUGGAACGCGAAGAGCACCGCAGUUGCAGUGGUGUCCGGAUCUUCCUCUCGGACCUUGAAAAUCCAGGAGAGGGACACGUGGAGGUGUCGCGCCGGUUCGUACCCAUAUCCGCAGCAGGUCUCCAAGGUUAAGAGCCUCUAGUCGAUAGGAUAAUGUAGGUAAGGGAAGUCGGCAAAAUGGUUCCGUAACUUUGGAAUAAGGAUUGGCUCUGAGGAACGGGGCGUGUCGAGCUUGACAGGAAAGUAAGUUGACUGACGUGCCGGGCCUGGGCGAAAUGAUUGGUGUUCACGUAUCAGGAUUUGAGCUCGGUCCCGUGCUUUGGUCUCUCAUGGAUCUUUCUUGCUAUAAGAUUAUAUUGAUGUGAAAGCAUUGUUAUAAUUCUUUUCAAUCGUCAUUUAACGUUCACCUCAGAACUGGCACGGUCCAGGGGAGCCCGACUGUCUAAUUAAAACAAAGCAUUGUGAUGGCCCUUACAAGUGUUGACACAAUGUGAUUUCUACUCAGUACGAUAAAUGUCAAUGUGAAGAAAUUUAUUUAAGCGCUCGUAAACAGCAGGAGUAACUAUUACUCUUUUACUGGUGUGACGUGUUUUUACAUGCUCCGUGUCUUUAAACUGUUUUGUGUCAUGAAAGUGGUUUAAGUUAGUACUGAGUGUGUUCAUUUAUUGCAGAAAUUUAUUCUGAUCAUUUUGUGAUAAUAAACUCAUAAUGGCGUGCAGUAAUUGCAGUAAAACAAUAAUGUAAAGUUGUUUAUAAUUAUUGGGAUUUUGCAUGGUUAGACAGCUGAUAUUCAUUUUUUUUUAUUUUGCGCGACCAAAGCGCAGUGAGGGCAAAGAGAACUUACUUCAAUAGCUCAAAUAAUAAUUAGACAUUGUGUAGACAUCUAGUGGUUGUGAUCAUCAUCUUUGCUACUGGUGCCAACUGGCCUGAGUAGUGUCCGGCAACUUGCCUGCAAAUAGGUAAGUUGCCAUCACUACGGUCGAUGAGUUACC